Talpa occidentalis (Iberian mole) is the source of this 103-nucleotide small nuclear RNA. The record is from RefSeq and is a predicted model, not a curated record. NCBI's taxonomy places the organism in Eukaryota, Metazoa, Chordata, Mammalia, Eulipotyphla, Talpidae.
GUGCUCUCUUCAAUAGCACAUAUGCUAAAAUUGGAAUGAUACAGCGAUUAGCUUGGCUUCUGCCCUAGGAUGACAUAAAGUUCGUGAAGUAUAGCAUAUAUUU